UUAUUUUAUUUUAUAUUAUUUUAUUUUAUUUUAUUUUAUUUUAUUUUAUUUUAUUUUAUUUUACUUUAUAUUAUUUUAUUUUAUUUUAUUUUAUGUUAUGUUAUGUUAUGUUAUUUUGUUAUAUUUUAUAUUUUAUAUUUUAUAUUUUAUAUCUUAUAUCUUAUAUUUUAUUUUGUUUUAUCCUCACUAUUGUUCUGAUCUGGGAUAAUUUUUUGGCCUGCACUUAAUUAGUCAUAAUUCAGAGGUUUUCAUAAGUCACACACUGCACAUGCUGAAGUGCUAAUGAGGCAUUUCCAUGCUGAAUCACCAACUAAUGAUUUACCACGAUGAUUUUGUUAUUAAAUCCGCAACCCCUGGCUCUGCUGAGCAGCGCUGGGAGACGCCUGUUUGCUAAUACACGGAGACAGUGGAAUGCAAGCAGAAAAUAUUAUGAACUCGUCAUCAGAGCGCUGACAUAUUGAUGUGGCACCUGCAGCUGCCCGCAGGGGUUCCGAAAGCCGCCGGGGAAGCGGCCUGACAGCUCGGUUAUCCGCAGAGCCAGGCUGCUUGUUUAACACCCACGGGACACGGGGAAACCACGGGCACCCACCCCAGCCCGAGCGGGGAAACGCUGGGCCCGGCACCACCCACCCCCAGCACCGGGAGGCACGGGGGAAACUGAGCCCCGCGUGGUACCCAAGGACAUCCCGGUGCCCGGGAACAUCCCGGUACUGAGAGCAUUUCCCGGAUCUGAGAGCAUUUCCCGGAUCUGAGAGCAUUUCCCAGUUCUGACAGCACUUCCCAGUACUGACAGCACUUCCCAGUACUGAGAGCACUCCCAUUCCUGAGGACGCCCCGGUACCUGAGGAUACCCCGGUACCCCGGUGUGUCCCACCUGGCUGAGGGGAUGUCGGUGAGCGCUCCCAGCAGGAUCUGGCCUGCUCCAGGGUACCCAGUGCAUCACAGAGGCUGCUGGGGAAGGGAACACGACGGGGCCUCGGUGUCUCCUGUGCCAGCACUCGGGAGAGAAGGACGUGCAGAGCAGUGG
This 1027-nucleotide long non-coding RNA is filed under the name Parus major (Great Tit). RNAcentral's name for it is "lncRNA (ENSPMJG00000011638.1)". Lineage: Eukaryota; Metazoa; Chordata; Aves; Passeriformes; Paridae. The record is from RNAcentral.